AGAGUGAACGCUGGCGGUAGGCCUAACACAUGCAAGUCGAACGGCAGCACGGUAAGAGCUUGCUCUUAUGGGUGGCGAGUGGCGGACGGGUGAGGAAUACAUCGGAAUCUACCUUUUGGUGGGGGAUAACGUAGGGAAACUUACGCUAAUACCGCAUACGCCUUCGGGGAAAGCCGGGACCGAGCAAUGGCCUGGCGCUGAUAGAUGAGCCGAUGUCGGAUUAGCUAGUUGGUGAGGUAAUAGGCUCACCAAGGACGACGAAUCCGUAGCUGGUCUGAGAGGAUGAUCAAGCCACAACUGGAACUAGAGACACGGUCCACGACUCCUACGGGAGGCAGCGAGUGGGGGAAUAUUGGACAAUGGGCGGACAAGCCUGAUACCAGACCACUAACCG
This 394-nucleotide ribosomal RNA is filed under the name uncultured soil bacterium. Its description in RNAcentral is "bacterial SSU rRNA". It matches the Rfam family "Bacterial small subunit ribosomal RNA", at positions 26 to 399 of the family's 1533-position model. The record is from RNAcentral.